AUUGAGGAGGAGAAUACUUAUCCAGUGAGUUUCUCGAUUAUCUAAAAUAAAAUAAAAUACUCUCUCAAUGGACACCUCCUUAUACUCCAUAAUUAAAUAAAAUUGUAGAAAGGAAGAAUCAUACCUUAUUAUAUAUGGUGCGGUCCAUGAUGUGUUUUACAAAUUUUUCAAUAUCCUUCUAGAGAUAUGCUCUCGAGGCUACAGCAUAU
This 209-nucleotide long non-coding RNA is filed under the name Elaeis guineensis (African oil palm). RNAcentral describes it as "long non-coding RNA (EGUI_LNC051976)". The record is from RNAcentral. Lineage: Eukaryota; Viridiplantae; Streptophyta; Magnoliopsida; Arecales; Arecaceae.